AAGUUUCGAAUUUGUGUCGCAUGGACUUACUAAGUUAGAAGCACGUAAAAGACACUUGACACCACCCGCAAAACUCUCAAAAUUAACUUAAUGCGACUCUGUGACUCCGCCCCUGCGUAGUCGCGUCCCCUUUUUGGGGAUUCAGACUAAGGUCACCCGAGAUAAUAGUUAAAUUUCCAAUGCUUUUCUCCCUCCUUCAGUCAUAAGCAUGCAUUCAAAGAAAACAGUCGUAUAUAUCACUGAGUAAAUAAGCUUCUGGAGAGCUGCUUUGAUUGGAAAGACCUCAGUUUAAGACAUCGAUUGGCUAGCGAAUGGGUGUGGCACAAGAUCCCUUUGUGGCCUUUUUCGUAGCUAUUCUGGAUGCAGUGGAAAUCGGGGUUAACAGAGAAGGUGCAAGGCUACUUGUUAGACGCACUAUAGCAUAUAUUUUUCUAUUGUUAUGAUAGCUGCUGUUAUGUUACUUAUAGCCUGUACUUAAAACCCUCAAAAGGGUUUUUAUAGAUGCAUUAAACUUUGCUGUGAUUUGGUAUAGACAUUAUUCUAUGUAUUUAUGUAUAUAAGAACAGAUCUGCACAAUAGGUCUUCUUUACACCAGCUGAACAAUGAGCUGUAGUGAUACUUCUACACUUAAACCUCAUAUAGAGGACAGUGAACAUAUUAGGCACUGAACAAGAUUGGUGGAGAGAAGGAAACAGCAGACAGGGAGGGAGGGGAGAGGAGACACAGAGCGCCCUGUAAAGAGGGACUGCCAACACCAGCGCUCUUGUUUUAUUGUAGUAUCUGAGCUUUUCUUCUUAGAUUUCCCUCCAGCUUGUAAAGAGGGAACAACUCUAAACUGUAUGUCUUGGAGGUACAUAAAAGUGGCUGAAGUUGUUGAGUUUUUGUGGCGCCUGCAAAGUUUCAGGCUAGAGGUUUUGGACAACCGUCUGAGUCUGUUUCAUGAAUCCAGAGAAAAGAGGAGUAAAUGAAAUCACUUGUUUCCUGGUUUGACCCGUUUCAGACACAGUGCUUACGUAGAGACAACUCUGUUACAUUGUCAUAUAUUAUAGAUUUGGAUACCGGGACAGUUUGGCAGCAUUCAAAAGUUAGCAUUUCACAUCUGAGAGACUUUGUUGCAUAAUUAAACUAGCAAUCUGUGCCAUUGCUGCGUAGACUUACUUUAUCCGCAAUAGGCAGCAUGGGUUCUCUCUCUGAUUCAGAGUCGGAGAUUGGCUCCUUUCCACGGCACAUAGAUUGAAUCUGCUGUGGCUCUCUGUUGGGCUGUGCAGCACUUCUGUACAUCUCCAUUUGUACGCUGCAGACGAACUCUGAAGACUGACUGUCUGGAAUACAAGAGCAGGAGGCCAGAGUACACAGUCAGGUGUUUUCUCAAGUGAUGCCUCGAAACCCUGUGCAACAUUUGGCAACCAAAAGAGUGUGUUAUUCGAAAAGCUCUCAUUAAGAUACAUAGAUCUUUUUGAGUAGAUGCUGCUGCUGUAAUGGUGGAUUAUUGACUUCUGUUGAGGUGUUGGACUGGUCUAUAUUGGAUUCAUUUGGGCCGAUGGCAUUGAGGCCCGGAGAUGUUGCUUUGACCCCAGGCUAAUUAAGUAGACCUGCUAUACAGUGUAGUACAUACUGAAUACUGAUGCUGUGUUCCAGUUACCUCAGAAGUCGGAUGAUGAAGCUGGGAUUGUCACACCUAAGUUGACGGAAUUCCAGUAAACAAGUCAUAAAACCAAGAUGGACGCCUACUGUUAGCCAUUAUUAGCUGUUGUUGACGAUUGUCCACUGUCGUUAGGCGUUGUCAGCUGUUGUUUGUUGUUGUUAGCGAUACCAGUUGUAAACAGUACAUAACCAUAGACUGUAUAUAGAAUGGAUGGCGUCUGUCUUCUUGCUGGGUGAAGCCACUGCGAGAACAGCACCCUCUGGUGACGGGCUGCAGUAGAGGUCAUAAAUCCCGCCUCCGCUAGCCAUCUUUAUGGAGCUGCUGACAAACAUUAGAAAUGUAUACAAAGAUUGCGUAGCUCACCCGGGGGAUAUGCUGUUUGAGCCGAGCAUCAUCACAGCGACUCUCCUGCUGAAUGCAUCCAAUGCUACUGUGCAAUGUUGGUUUCAAGAAAUGAAGAAAAAUCACGGAAAUACAGAACGCUUUUCGGCUUCAAAUCCUUGGAGUUGGAAAUCUGACUUCAGGGGGGCAUUUCAGAUGAAUUUCUGACUCAGAGCUUAAAAAUCCCGAUUUCUGAGUACAACAGUGCACCAUAAGCUAUUACCAAGCAUGUACAAUGACAUUUUAAGGCAAAGGCUACAGAAAUGGUUAUGCAAAACUCAAAGAGAUUUGUCAGAUUAAGUUUGGAUCAUGUUCCAGAUGGGGCUCAUUUGGGACUGGACCCAGACCACCUACUCUAAAGGGUCGUCAUAAGGUUGUUUUGGUCUGUAGGCCAACACCUUUACUUUUCAGCACAGAGAACAGGUGAGACAUCACUGCCUGGCUGUAAAAGUCAAAGAUAUCUUUCCAAGUGUGGGAUUGUGUUUCUCUUUUCACUCAUAGUGUAAUCAUCAGACCAGCGUCCUCUCGAUCAAGCGUAGACAGAAAACAUAAGAUCUAAACCGAACCAUUUUUCCUCCUCAGCCUCUUUCCUCCUACUUUCAUUUUCGCUUCUCUCUCCGACCAUUAAGCUCUUUCUCCUGUUGAUUACUAAAAGCCUGUGUAGGUGUGAUGACUUCAAACCCAACAGCGCCGUCCCUUCAUGUAAUUUCUCUCACUUCCCCUCCUUUUCUUUUCUCCUUCGCCGCUGCUGCUGCGUUAUGACUCUUUAACUCUGCCUUCCUCCUCCUCCUCCUCCUCCGGUCAGCUCUGACAGCUCAUGUAGGUGUUAUUGUUUCGAAUGUUUUCUACCUGUUUUCUUGAGUCUCUCUUUUACACCUUCCUCUCUCUUUUCCUCACAUUCUUCUCCUUCUUCUUCUCUACGGCUCCGCUGUGACCGCUCCUCCUCUUCCUCCUCCUGUUGAUAAGUGGCAGUUUGCAGAGGUGUGGGAUGUCUGCAGCUGCUACUUCGGCCCCCUCCAUCAGGUCCAGACAGCAGACUCCCGGGGUGGUAAUGACCGCCGAGCAGAUGAUGAUAAUAGCAGCCAGACAAAAAGCACAUCUCAUAGAUCAUCCUCUCCUCUUCAUCAUUUUCUUCCCUUUAUUUUUACUUCUAACUUGAGGAGCAAACACCACUUCUCUCGGCUGGAUUUCCUCCAGUAAAAUAAGAAGUAUUUUGGUUUCAUGAGACAGAACAGAGGAGUGAGGUUUGUUUUUUCAACAGCAGCUGAUAAAGCACCUGCGACUUUGUUCCUACUCUUUCAAACUUUCUUGCUUUUUCCUCCGCCUUACACCCGUGAUGCAUACAAACUGGAAAGAAGAAAAAGGCAGUAUAUCAUUAACAACACCCACCAAACUCCACUCUGCCGAGGAGAGAUUUAAUUGGAGGUCUCUCCACCUACAACCACAAGCGCCCCCGGGCCUCUCGUUGGCCCUGAUCCUGUUGCGUAAUGUUUUUUCUCCACGUCGUGCCUGGCUGAAAAUCAAUUAGCAAGUGCUGCAAUCGCGGAGUGCAGGAGGACUCCUGGAUGUCUUCCAAACCACUUAAUUUGUUCCUGAGCGGACAAGAAUUAUGCUCUGCUUGUAGUCCAGUGUGAUAGAUUUUUCUCUCUUUGUUUCAUGGUUUGAAUCGACACAAGUUUCAGGGAACGCCACAAAUGUUUUCCUGACCCACCCACUCCUGUUGAGCUGAUCGGUUUAGCCUUCGCACACGGCGGCCAUUUCUGGUCAGGAUGGGGAGUUCAAAUACUGUUACCAGAAAUUGAAGUUUUCUGACAGUCUGAACAGUUAACGUCGGGAAAUCUGGUCUACUGCAGAGCUACAGUAGAUCAUUAGCAAUUCACCUCUGAGUCGUGGGCGGAGACAGCGCUGCUCUGCACACUCCUCUUCACCUUAGCUUGUAGCCUAACAUAAGGUGACCAGAUUUCUAUAAUGAAAUCGGGGGACAUCCAGGAACAUUCAGUGGGUGGGGGCUGCUAAGCAAAAUGUGACUUGUGCUUCCUACCUACUCGGCUACCAUAAUAACUGUUGUUCUAAUCUACACGCAACUUUUUUGUUCUCGUUCAUGAAACACUUGUGUAGUGUAGUAGAAGCUAUUCAGCUCUCGGACACUAAUGUCUUUGGGGACAUGACGAAAGCUAAUAUCAUGAGUAGCUUUUUUAUGAGUUUUGCAAUCCACUAACUGCACUAAAUCCACUUAAAUGCAGAAAUACUCAGAAAUGCAAUUUUGCGCUUACUUGUGCUAGUGCUGGGCGAUAUGUCCUCAAAUCAAUAUCACGAUAUAUUGAGCAGUUCACCUCGAUAGCGAUAAAUGGACGAUAACCACUCCACAAGCUGCUCACCCCCUCACACGUAAACUUUGUCUACUCCAGCUGCCGCUCCAACCGCUCCAACUUUUGAACCGUCCUCCAUCUCCUCACCUGUCUUUCCCUCUUUGUUACGGACUGGAUGGGGUGGAGUCACGUCUCUGACGUAGGACAGCGUCUUAAAGGGACGUGUGACCAUAGCCUACCUACACACAGCCAAAACUAACUUUCAUUUAUUUAUUUUUUUGGCACCAAAUAUACCGAUAUUGGCAAAAUAAUGUCUGUUUUGUCGUAGAUUUCGGUAACGGCAAAUUUUAGGUUUAUCGCCCAGCCCUAAUAUGUCCUGUAGCAUCAGAAAAUUGCCAUAUGAACAUGUAGACAACAGGAAAAACAUGAUUUUCAUCGGAGUGGGUCUUUAAAUACAGACAGAAGCUCACACCAGUAUUCAGUCACUUGUUCGAUGCUACCUCUGGCUAGUCGAAGCUGGAAGCCUUAAUCACCAUUCAGUUGUUUCGUGCAAAUUCAUUCACUUAGAUUAUGUUUGCAUUGGACAAAUAACUAUUUAACACACUCAAGCCAACAGUAUGUUAACUUUAACCAAAUAAAUAUGCCGAAUUUGAGUCUGUUUGGUUGUUCGUAGUCAGAGAAGAAGAAGAAAUAAGUGAAAAUAACUCACUGGCGUGUGAAGUAUGAUGUUUUGAUCCUUUAUGGGGGAUUUCUCUCUCGGUUUUAUGAUCAUUUGUCUGUUUAAUCGUCUCGUUAAACUGGAACACAGUAGAAGGAAAUUUUCAGAGCGUUUCGGCUUCACGCCCUGACGUGACAUCCGAGAAAUGGCCCGUGUGCGGUUGCACUGAAUGGUUAUUUCCCCCAUCCUGCAGUUCUCACUCCACACUCCCUCUAAUGCCUCUCUUGUCUAUCAUCUCUCCUCUACAAUCUGCUCCUCCUUUUCUUGUUCCCUCCACCCCGGAGAACAGACGAGGGACUGUGAGGGAGAGGGCGUUUGAGGGAAGAGGCAGCUGAAUCUUCACUCGCUCCGAUGUCUCCUCAGUUACCGUGGAGUGAAGGACAGACAGGAGAUAAAUCAAAUCACCCGGAGGAUUAAUAUGGCGUCGUCUCGAUGAGAGCAACUGACAAGGACGUUUGUAUUUCUUCAAAUUUACACAAGACAAACUUCUACUGGGACAUGUUUCCCUUACUCUAAUGGGAAUAUGACAAAUGAGUGUGUGUUGUAUGCAAAUGAGGGAUAAAAUAAGCAAAGUGGAGCAGGGUGUAAUGCAGUGAGUAUGAUAACACUUAGCAGAACAGAAAGACAAACAGGCUCGCACACAGAGUGUCACUGAUGAGUUGAAUGACCUCCCUGCCAUCGGGGAUGCUUAUCCUGGAAGUGCCACUUUUAUGAGCGCGGGGAUGCUGCUGUUAAUAAAGGCGAGUGCCAGCAUCUCAUUAGAGUCUGAGUCAGUGUGCCAGCUCUGCAGAGCGAGGGCAGCCGUGCACAGAGCCAACAGGCUCAUCAAAACCGCAGGAGGACUCAGACCCGACACAGAGAGCUAACACGGCAAUAAUGUCCACGCCGAGGAUGGAGAGCAGCUGCUUAGCCUCAGCAGCUGUUCCUUGAUUCAAUCUCCUCUGCGACAACAUUUGUACCCGAUGACAGGUUUAGUGAUUUUCGCAUGCAAUUACAAAGUUUUGGUUUUGAAUAUUUUUUCCCCUGAAGACGUUUUGUUUCUAGUAAAAUUCCCAACUAAUCUUACAAAUGGGGGACCAGUGUGGACAGAUUUUAGGAGAUAAACUGGAUCUCUUUGGAGCUGAAUCAUCUCUCUAAGGUUUACUACAGCCAGCUCACUAGCAGUCGGCUACUUCUUCUUUGUUGUCCUUCAUUUGUCACUGAUGCUCAGUCUGUUUUCUUCAAUUUGGUAGAAGUCUCUUUGACUCAUCCCUUGCUGAUUUCUGUGUUGUGUUCCCUCCUCUUGUCCUCUUUUCUCUGCUGAUGACUUGUCAACAAUACACCAAUGAUUUAAAGUUUUGUGCUCUUCAAUAAUAUUAAAGGGAUAUUCCGGAGUAAAAUUAAGUUAGGGUCAAACACCAUAACACUGAGUUAGACACCCCGUCAAGAGAUGAAAGUUGCUGACCACUUGCUUCUAUAGUUAUACCAACUUCAGUAACGACCACAGAUAGCAAUACAGAGAGCCACACGCUCAACCAAAAAGCCACUCUCUCAACAUAUUGUUAAAGAGACAUGGCCUGACACCGAGACAUUACGUGAGGAAAGAGCUACCUUUGGGAAACACUGGACAUAAAAAUCAAAAAUGGAAAAAAGAAAGACUAAAAUCAAACAUAAAGAUGCAAGACGUCUGAACAAACUGGUGAAAAAGGCUGGCUCUGUGGUUGGACUCAAGUUGGACUCAGUGGAGGAUGUGGUGGAGAGAUCUACACUGAGGAAGGUGGAGACUAUUCUCAAGAACAUGGAUCACCCACUUCACAACACCUUGAUGGACCAACAGGCCAAUGGUGGUGGACGGCUCCUCUCUCUUCGCUGCAGGACAGAAAGAUUCAGAAGAUGUUUUGUACCAGCAACCAUCAGGCUUUAUAACUCUUGUGUAAACAGAAGUUAACUUUUUUGGAGACAUAUUAUGUGAGACGACAGACAAUCGAAUUUCCCUUCGGGGAUUAUGAAAGUUAUUCUUAUUCUAAUAAUAUUAAACAAACAGAUAAGUAAGAGCUCUUUACCAUAUAAAAAAAGUAAAAACCUCUAUGAUGGGAGUUAAGAAAAGGAGUAAAAAAAGAGAUAAUUAAUAAAAUGACAUAAAAUAAACAUUAAGAACUUUGAUUAAAAUGAACAUUUGCAAUAAGAGAAAUAUAAAAAGAAAAUUAGUGAAAAGCCUGGUUAAAAACUGUGAGUUUGAGCCUAUGUUCUAACAUACAGGCUCAUAAUUAUGGUAUAGCGGAUCUAAAAUUACAUAAACUGUCAAUUAGCCGAUCGAAAAUUUAAUCCAUCCGACAUAAACUUUCUCUACUCGGCUCCAUCAUCGUAUCAUAUCUGGACUGUGUUCCUGCUGUAGGUCUGUUCAGCCUGUGAGUGUGUUAUAAAGCUAUUCUGUGAGACAGUUAGAGGGAGUCUAACGAUGUGGAAAGCCCCCGCUUGCCUAAUGUUUGGAUUAAUUAGCGAGUCUCAUCCCUUGACGUCCUCUAGGAGGAGGACACACUUUAUCACUCCAGCCUGUGUCUGUUUACCAAAAGAGAUCUGAGCUGACAAAACGUCCUCUCCUUCACUCCUUCUUUACCUCUUUUUUUUUUUUUUUUUCCUCCACCAGAGUAAUUGAGCAAUUAGACGUGAUUGAUUGAUUUUGGGAAAGUGAGAUGAGGAAAAAUCGGCCCACGGACACAGAAGGGAUCCAUACAGUAGCUUUAAAUUAGCGAGAGGAACGGCGGCCAGGCAGCAGACUGGGGAGGCUUAGACGGCAGAUAAGGAAAAUAAGACACUGUAAGUAUGUGUGCGCGUGAACUCGCACAUAAAACUGCCAAUGAGAGGAGAUGGAUGUGCGGUUUGGAAAAGACAGAGCUGAGAGGAUGAGGAGGGGAAUCAGAAGUGUAAUUAGUCUCCGAAUGAUAGUAAAAUGUAGUCCAGCCCACGCCAUCGUCUUCCAAGAGUACUGCGAAUGCAUUUCAGCGAGAUACCGCAGUCACAUGCCGCUAAAUUCACAUGAUAUCAGAUGAAAAGACAACAUACAGGAGUUCAGCGGGCCUUUUGAGGUCAUAACUGAUGGAAAACGGCGAUAGGAUUACAUUUCUAUUACUGUAGUUUUCAUUUUUAUUUCCAUAUCCAAACUGAAUCACAUCCACACAUGUCAGAUAGUGUGACGUUUCAUUACCAUAAACAGAAGCGAUACGGAAAAAAGGAGCAUAUCCAUUAAAGGUAAUCUCCUCCUCCAUAUAAUCCCAUUAUUUUCACUCGCUGCUAUUUACAAGUGGGGUUAAAGGUCAAACGAUAAUAAGCGAUCUCACUCAUGACCUCAUGCGACGCAAAGAUAUGCUGUUUUCUAAAUGGUUGCCCUAAAAAAGAACAAAACAGCUAAUGCUAAAUGGGCUUUUAAAUGUACACAAGCUAAUCUUUAAGGAUCUGUCUGAGCCCGAUCCGCACAUAUGGCUCCUUCCCGGUCUUUCCCUUCCAAUUAUUGAUAUACGAGCGUAUUAAAAUAUGACACCUGUGUCACAGAUUAAUCCCCUCACGCUGCGGUUCAACCCGUCGUUUAACUGGCGCUGGUUUUAUCCGCCGCUGGUGGCAGCUGUGUGUCAGAGAUUACCCCAAAGUCCUCUGCCAACCCAGGCAGAGUUACAUCUUUACAUUAACGGUGUUUCCACGGCCUUAGCUUCACACAUGAAGACAACACUGACACUGUUAUUAAAUCUUUCCUAAUUCAUAAAGGCUUUGGUCUUUAAGAUUAUUUGUAUUUUUAUUACAUAGUUUGGGUUUUAGUGAUUAACAGGUUCAAAAGUUUUUUAAUUGCUUUGUCUGAUUGCUUUAGCAGCAGCUGUAAUGACUGUGACUCACUCCCAAAUGGUUCAUACUCCAAAGUCAAACCGUUUUUAAAGGAAACUUUCACUUUUUUAUCAAGUUUGGCGCCCCCUGUGGACAAAGCGGUGUUUGUUUAUCUCAUCCUCUACAUGUUAAAUAGCAUUUUUGACAUGAAAUAACCCAUCCUGUUGACUUUUAACAGUCUUAUGUAUCAUUUAAAGUUGGGUUAGGCAGGAUCUGAAGAAGUGCCAGUUUUUGGGAGAAGUCUUGAAUGUAAACACUACCCCUCCCAACCAGUACUUUCUGGUUGGUUUCUACUGUCCAAUAUUGUAGCACGCUAACUUUGUUUAAGCUCCUGAACGACACGAGGGAGCAGCAUCCACCUCACAACCAAUCAGGAUGGGGAGGUGGGGAAUGGCUUUGUUUACAGUCAGAAAGAGCGGGACGCUCAAAACAUUUAAAAUGUUGACUACACAGACAUAACAGAACACAGCAAUAUCGUUAUAUUUCCAAAUGUCAUCAAUAACUAAGAACUAUUGACUGAUAUUAAAUUCUUUUCUGUAUAUACACCAUAAAAAAUAUGCUUCUUUAACAGAGUCCUGCCUACCCCACCUUUAAGGCACUGAAAAUUACAAUUUACAAAUCACCAAUCUUAUUGCUAAUGGUGUUUUUCGCUUUUUUGUUUCACAAAUAAGCAUCAAUAUACAUUUAAGACCAUUUAAUUAAUGUCAAAAAACUCCCUACUGGAGCUUUAAGUUUAAGUCUGGGCCAUUUUUUGCCUCUGUCGGAUUGGACAGCCAAAGAGGGACAUGGAAUGUUUAUACUAUAGCAGUUUAAUGCAGUUAAACCAUUAAAAACUAGAAGCCUUCACCACAAAUCAAGUGUUAGUAAUCUACUUAUUAAAGCAUAAAUGUAGAAAUUCCCAAACCUUGUGGAUAUUUCUCCUUAAUUUAGUCAUUAAGACCCUCAAAUGUGGGGGAAAAAAAUCGGGUAAAAACUUCUGGAAUUUUCCCCCAACAUCAGACAGGACCACAAGUGGAAUUGCAGUUUUAUAAUAACAUGCACUUAUACUCAUGGAAACACACAAGCCCUUUUACAGCAACCAAUUAGAUGUAAUAUAGCGUGAUUCCUCCCAGCCAGCAGAAAGAGCAGGUUGGAAUUCCCACUGCUGACGAAGAUGUUUUGUAACGAUCAGACUUUGAACAUGCAGCAACACUUCAUCUGCUCUCAGAGCGGUGAUAAAAGUGUAAUAAAAAGCAAUGGGCAGUUGGCUUAAAGCAUGUGUCAACAGCUUUGCUACGCUUGAAUUAAACAUGAGAAAAGUGGCUGACUUAUUCAUGAGCUGGAUGAAAUCAGCGAGCGUUCGAGGCUCAGCGGCAUGAGGAUGGGCCGAGUGUUUAGCAUGCAUGCUAAGUCUUUGGAGCGUUAUCGAUAUCGGACGUGGUCAGCUUAAACACAGAUGCACGAAUACCAGGUUAAAGGAGGAAAAGCAGGUCUGAAUAGCUCAGUGCUCCCAAGGCAACCGCUGUAGAGCAUAGCUUCCUUUUAUAAGUUAUGUUCGACGAAUCAGACACAUGGCUGACCUGAUCUUUAAAGGCACGGUUGACGAUCUGAACAGCAGUUGAAAAAAACUGAGCCAUUGAAGCACACCCUUGUUUUUUUUUGCGUCCUUCUCCAUCACAGCUCCUGUCGCUAACAUAGUAAGCUAAAAGUAGCGUAGUAGCUGCUACACUACUUUUAAAAGUAUUUUAUUCCUUUUGGCUGCGAAACAUCAUCGUCUGUUUGGUUGGGGUUAGGGUUAGGAGAUUCAGAAGUGUGAUAAUGUUCUGUUCGAUGUACAGAGCCGACAGCCCGCGUUUGGCUUGAGCAUAAGACGAUGUUUCACAGCCAAUGAAAGGAGAGGAGGCAGGAUCUUUCUCUACCAUCCUAGGAAAAAAAAUACCGCAUCCAGGAUGGAUGGCUCCCAUUGGUCAAUGUUUUUGCAGCCCUGCACCUGCUAGGGUGAACAGAUUCUUUUUUUUCUUCACUUUGCGGAGAUCGCACUAUAGGACCAUGAUCACCAUAUAAAUGAGGUUUAUAAUAAUUACCAAUCUCUCCAAUCAACGACGCCUUUAAGUUAAGCCAUGGCCAAAACAACACUGACCAUAUUGUAGAUUUCCCUUCCAGAGUAACAACACCUGUUGCAAAUGCUGCAAAUGUCAAUAAUCGGCUUUUUCACACUCUCAUUUAGUCGUAACUGUUUCCUAAAUUCUUGUUUCUUCCAUUUAAAUGUGAUCCAAACAUUUGGCGAAGAAUCCCCCGACACCUAAUGAUGGGAUUGUGUCCGGGACUUUCUGCAAAUCCAGCUGCAAUCGGAGAGCGCACAUCCUAAUUAAAAGAGAGUGAACGGCUCUAGCGAUGCCCAUUCAUGAAGAAAUUUGCCCUCACUUGAACCUUCACUUUUUCCGCUCUUGAACAUCCAGAUAUGGUCUUUAAUGCAGUCAUGGUGCCAUCAUGUUUACUUACAUCCUGAGAUUUUACACGUAACCUUUUUUCUGACCUCUUUCGGUUUUCCUCUCGAGCCUAAAAAAGCUGCCAGCAGACACUUUGUUUAUGGAAAAGCUCUUCCAGCGGUGGGAACCACUUCAGGUCAGGAAAUGUUGCAAAGCCGAACAGCUGGUGAGAGAGAAAAAAAAAAUCAGUUUAUGCACCGGGAAAAAAAAGCAAUCUAAUAAGUAGACAAAUGUUGUCAUGAUAGCACAAGUUAAUAAAAGCAACACCUUCUGUUUCCACUCCCGAGGAAAACACAGCCCAUGGGGGAAACAAAUCACCGCGUUCUCAUCACAUCUGCAGCCGGAGAGUAGAAACCGAUGCUCCGGCUGUAAUUAGAAACACUCGACAUGAGGGAAUAAAAACUCAAAGUGUCUGACUGGCAUAACUCACACUUAGCAGCAGAGGUCAAAAAACAUCCUGACGAAAUAUGAACGACUGUCUGAGUUUUUCCCCGUCGUUCCCAGAGGGGCUGUUUACAGGCCGGGGAAAGGUCAAAGGGCAUCAUUUCCCACACAGCAUGCUGGUGGUGUGUUACAGGAAGGAGAACAUAUACUGAGUGCAUUUAUGAUCUGGAUUUGGGAAAUCCAACAAUUUAAAGUAAGAUUAGGACAAAAAUGUGGAGUCAUCUUUGAUCAGGACUUGUGUUUUCAGCCCAAAGUGAGAAGUUUUUAUUCAAUUCAAUGUUUUUAUUUCCUCCUGUGUCAGAUGCUGGUGGUGCUACGAAAGAGGAUUAGAGCCACAAGAAGAGAAAAAAUUAAUCACAGGAGGGAGAGAUUUUUCAUUUCCAUUUUGAGAUUAAAGUCCAAAUUUAAAAAGUUGUAAUUUCAACUUUAAUGAGCUUUUUAAAUAAGUCAAAAUUUAAAAAGCUGAAAUUUUGACAUUAAUCAUGUCGACUUUAAUCCCGAAAUAAUUUUUUUUUAUCUCAAAAUUUUGACAACAUUCACAACAUUUUAACAUUUUGUGAUCUCAAAAUUUAUACUUCUAUUUUGAGAUCAAUUUUUAAUCUCAGCAUUUUGACUUGAUUGACAUAAUUUCGAUUUUUUUUAUUUCGAAAGUUCGACUUUAAAAUCUCAAAAUUGCAACUAUAAUCUCAUAAUUUAAAUUUUUAUCAAUCUCGAAAUUUCAGCAUUAUUCACAACAUUUCAACAUUUGGUAAUCUCAAAAUUUAGACAUUAAUCUCGAGAUUUCAAUUUUUUUAUUUAAAAAUUUUAACAUUAUUCACAACAUUCUGUAAUCUUAAAAUUUUGAUUUUAAUCUCGAAAUUUCAAAUUUUAAUCUUGACAUUUCAACUUUAUUGACAUAAUUUCGAUUUUUUAAAUCUUGAAAAUUCAAUUAUUUAUCGCAAUUUUUCCAUUUUAUUGACAUAAUUUCAAUGUAUUAAUUUUGAAAUUUUGACUUUAAUCUGGAAAUUCCGACUUUAAUCUACUUCCUGUAAUUAUUUUUUUUCUCUUCAUGCUGCCCUAAUCCUCUUUCGUAUCCUGCACACUUUACACCUGUCACAAACAAAAGUCAAUCCAAGAAAUCCCAAAGUGCUGCAGUUCAGUUUUUUAAGGUACAGUGUGAAGAAAUGGUCACAUCUAUAGAUGUAUAGUAGAUAGAUUCAAAACUGAAAUGGUUACCAUACUCAACUCUCCCUCGAAUAAAGUGACAGUAGUUUUAAUAUUCAUUAACUUGCUAUCGUUUGCCGCCAGUCUGAGAUCCUCUCGUAGAGUUUUAUGUUAAUUUAUUAAUGCAAGAGUUUCCAGAAGACGCACAGGUGUUAUAACAUCAGCAACAAGAGUAUCUGACAAUCAAAAGUGUCUGUACUCUGUUAAAAGUUAUCCAGCUGCAGACAAUGUGCCAGGAGAGAAAUAAAACACACACUAACACACACACUGAAAGGAUAACUUCUCAACCUGGCUAUCACAUCUAACACACAGCUGUUUUUCAUUCGAGGGUCACAACAUGUUUUUCAUUUCAGCUCAAAUCAAAUUAGUCCUACAGUAUUUAGAAGCUCUGCAAAGUGUGUGCACACCUGAAUCUGGAAAACGGACAGCAUCCCUUUUGAACACAUACAUUUGCUCUUCUCAGGACUUAAUUCUAUUUGCAUAUGCACCUGAAUGUUAAUGCAUUUGCAAUAGAUGAUAAAGCAAAUCUGUGCACGCUGUGUUGUGUUUUUCCUGUGACAAUAAAUUUGGGGAAAAGCAGAGAAAAAGUACCCUCUACCCAUCUGGAAUUGUGCACAUCCUUUCCCCCGUCCUUACUUAAUUCACAGCUUCCAGGCAGACACUAUUUCUUCGCCUUGUUUUUUGCAGGAAUGCUGGCGGUAAAACUCGUAUUCGCAGCACUGGAGACCGUCACAACAGCUCUGAAGUCCUAUAAAGCAUCCUGAGAUUCCAGAGUACAGAAUGUCCCUCUAUUCCUGUUGUUCUCCUCCUCCUGCACGAGCAACAAUAAUGACAAUCCCACCUGGCAACAAACGUCCUAAAGGAAACAGAAUGAAGUCAGAAAGAACAGAAUAAAUCAGUUUGAUUCCUCGUGCCAAGACUAAUACUGCAUGCAUAUAAACAUAUGACACAGAUUCAUAUGGAUUUCUCCUGACUUUGGGAUAAAUGUCUCGGACCAGCCAUGUGUGGGAGAUUUGAGAAAAACAAGCUGACAGAGUGUCUGUUUUCUCUCAAAAUCUGCAGGCAUUUGACUGACAACCCGACACAUGUAGGUGCUACAAACCGUCAGUGUUUUCACUCCUUCACAGAAAAAAAAAACUGUUUAAUAUUCUUAAGUAGACGGGUAAAUAUUUGGCAUAAGGAAGCACUUGAUUCAGGCUGGACGAUUCAAGUCAGACACCGGAUGGGAAGGGGACAUGAAAGAGGCCCUUCAUGGAUCCAACCAGCCCCCC
Non-coding RNA from Xyrichtys novacula (pearly razorfish), 14291 nucleotides. NCBI's taxonomy places the organism in Eukaryota, Metazoa, Chordata, Actinopteri, Labriformes, Labridae. The record is from the annotation of a GenBank genome assembly.